Molecule: transfer RNA, 77 nt
Filed under: Candidatus Nanopelagicaceae bacterium
Lineage: Bacteria; Bacillati; Actinomycetota; Actinomycetes; Candidatus Nanopelagicales; Candidatus Nanopelagicaceae
Also listed under: 3 other names
Description: tRNA-Ser
Rfam family: tRNA
About the family: Transfer RNA (tRNA) molecules are approximately 80 nucleotides in length. Their secondary structure includes four short double-helical elements and three loops (D, anti-codon, and T loops).
Source: RNAcentral
CUCGCUGUAGCUCAGCGGAUAGAGCAGCUUUCCGACGAAUUCGCAGGUCGUGGGUUCAAAUCCCACCAGUGAGACCA